AGAGUUUGAUCCUGGCUCAGGAUGAACGCUAGCGGCAGGCCUAAUACAUGCAAGUCGAACGAGAUUAAGAGGCUUGCUYCUUAUGAAAGUGGCGCACGGGYGCGUAACGCGUAUGCAACCUACCUUAAUCAGGGGGAUAGCCCGAAGAAAUUCGGAYUAAGACCGCAUAAAAACACAGGAUAGCAUUAUCCAAUGUUCAAAUAUUUAUAGGAUUAAGAUGGGCAUGCGUGUYAUUAGCUAGUUGGCGGGGUAACGGCCCACCAAGGCGACGAUGACUAGGGGAUCUGAGAGGAUGACCCCCCACACUGGUACUGAGACACGGACCAGACUCCUACGGGAGGCAGCAGUAAGGAAUAUUGGUCAAUGGAGGGAACUCUGAACCAGCCAUGCCGCGUGCAGGAAGACAGCCCYCUGGGUCGUAARCUGCWUUUAUUCGGGAAUAARCCUUUCUACGUGUMGGAAGCUGAAUGYACCGAAGGAAUAAGGAUCGGCUAACUCCGUGCCAGCAGCCGCGGUAAU
RNAcentral lists this ribosomal RNA (519 nucleotides) under uncultured Flavobacterium sp. RNAcentral's name for it is "bacterial SSU rRNA". It matches the Rfam family "Bacterial small subunit ribosomal RNA", at positions 8 to 524 of the family's 1533-position model. Lineage: Bacteria; Pseudomonadati; Bacteroidota; Flavobacteriia; Flavobacteriales; Flavobacteriaceae. The record is from RNAcentral.